Molecule: ribosomal RNA, 247 nt
Filed under: uncultured bacterium
Lineage: Bacteria
Description: partial 16S ribosomal RNA
Rfam family: Bacterial small subunit ribosomal RNA
Source: RNAcentral
AUACGGAGGGUGCAAGCGUUAUCCGGAUUUAUUGGGUUUAAAGGGUCCGUGGGCGGAUCUGUAAGUCAGUGGUGAAAUCUCACAGCUUAACUGUGAAACUGCCAUUGAUACUGCAGGUCUUGAGUAAGGUAGAAGUGGCUGGAAUAAGUAGUGUAGCGGUGAAAUGCAUAGAUAUUACUUAGAACACCAAUUGCGAAGGCAGGUCACUAUGUCUUAACUGACGCUGAUGGACGAAAGCGUGGGGAGC